RNAcentral lists this unclassified non-coding RNA (332 nucleotides) under soil metagenome. RNAcentral's name for it is "partial contains 5.8S ribosomal RNA, internal transcribed spacer 2, and large subunit ribosomal RNA". The stretch from base 1 to 120 matches the Rfam family "5.8S ribosomal RNA", at positions 35 to 154 of the family's 154-position model. The record is from RNAcentral.
GAUGAAGAACGCAGCGAAAUGCGAUAAGUAAUGCGAAUUGCAGAAUUCAGUGAAUCAUCGAAUCUUUGAACGCACAUUGCGCCCGCCAGUAUUCUGGCGGGCAUGCCUGUUCGAGCGUCAUUUCAACCCUCAAGCACAGCUUGGUGUUGGGACUCGCGUUAAUUCGCGUUCCUCAAAUUGAUUGGCGGUCACGUCGAGCUUCCAUAGCGUAGUAGUAAAACCCUCGUUACUGGUAAUCGUCGCGGCCACGCCGUUAAACCCCAACUUCUGAAUGUUGACCUCGGAUCAGGUAGGAAUACCCGCUGAACUUAAGCAUAUCAAUAAGCGGAGGA